AUAAGUCCAAGCACUGGUCAUCGCUGCUGACUAUGAAGAUCGAAGGCUAGUGGAUCCAACUUAGAUUUGUCUCUGGGUGCUUUUGUUGUGGGGAUUUUUGUUUCAUUUUUGUUCCCCCGUUGUCUUUUAUUCUCAAACGAGUCUGUUCAAUGCUUGAUUUUGUUGUGGGGAUUUGUCUCUAUUUGCUGUUGGGUGGUCUGUUUAGUUUCUUCUUUGUGGUGG
RNAcentral lists this long non-coding RNA (222 nucleotides) under Gossypium barbadense (sea-island cotton). RNAcentral describes it as "long non-coding RNA (GBAR_LNC003287)". The record is from RNAcentral. Lineage: Eukaryota; Viridiplantae; Streptophyta; Magnoliopsida; Malvales; Malvaceae.